GACGAACGUUGGCGGCGUGCUUAACACAUGCAAGUCGAACGGAAAGGCCCUGCUUGCAGGGUACUCGAGUGGCGAACGGGUGAGUAACACGUGGGUGAUCUGCCCUGCACUUCGGGAUAAGCCUGGGAAACUGGGUCUAAUACCGGAUAGGAGCCAUUUUUAGUGUGAUGGUUGGAAAGUUUUUUCGGUGUAGGAUGAGCUCGCGGCCUAUCAGCUUGUUGGUGGGGUAAUGGCCUACCAAGGCGGCGACGGGUAGCCGGCCUGAGAGGGUGGACGGCCACAUUGGGACUGAGAUACGGCCCAGACUCCUACGGGAGGCAGCAGUGGGGAAUAUUGCACAAUGGGCGCAAGCCUGAUGCAGCGACGCCGCGUGGGGGAUGACGGCCUUCGGGUUGUAAACUCCUUUCGCUAGGGACGAAGCUUUUUGUGACGGUACCUAGAUAAGAAGCACCGGCUAACUACGUG
This 465-nucleotide ribosomal RNA is filed under the name uncultured bacterium. RNAcentral's name for it is "partial 16S ribosomal RNA". It matches the Rfam family "Bacterial small subunit ribosomal RNA", at positions 28 to 507 of the family's 1533-position model. The record is from RNAcentral.